RNAcentral lists this transfer-messenger RNA (134 nucleotides) under Clostridia bacterium. RNAcentral describes it as "partial transfer-messenger RNA". It matches the Rfam family "transfer-messenger RNA", at positions 1 to 144 of the family's 374-position model. From Rfam's summary of the family: Bacterial tmRNA, also known as 10Sa RNA or SsrA, is named for its dual tRNA and mRNA-like properties. Its role is to liberate the mRNA from a stalled ribosome. The record is from RNAcentral. Lineage: Bacteria; Bacillati; Bacillota; Clostridia.
GGGGGUGUAAAGGUUUCGACGGGGUUUUUGAAGCGAGAAAUGCGGGUAGAGUGGCAGGAACUCUUCAAAACUGCAACCUUAAACACAAACGCUAACAACGAAGUAGCACUCGCUGCCUAAAAUGGCAGCCGUCC